Molecule: ribosomal RNA, 259 nt
Filed under: uncultured bacterium
Lineage: Bacteria
Description: partial 16S ribosomal RNA
Rfam family: Bacterial small subunit ribosomal RNA
Source: RNAcentral
GUCCACGCCGUAAACGGUGAGUGCUCGUCGUCGUGGGUAUUGACCCCUGCGGUGACCAAGUUAACGCAUGAAGCACUCCGCCUGGGAAGUACGGUCGCAAGACUAAAACUCAAAGAAAUUGACGGGGGCCCGCACAAGCGGUGGAGCAUGUUGUUUAAUUCGAAGCAACGCGCAGAACCUUACCUGGAUUUGACAUCUCGGGAAUCUUCCUGAAAAGGAAGAGUGCCUUCGGGAACCCGAUGACAGGUGCUGCAUGGCU